Molecule: long non-coding RNA, 436 nt
Organism: Acanthochromis polyacanthus (spiny chromis)
Lineage: Eukaryota; Metazoa; Chordata; Actinopteri; Pomacentridae
Exons: 2
Source: RefSeq, a predicted model, not a curated record
UUUGUAGGUGAGGGAUGUGGACGGUUUGUUCCAGCGGGGUUCCUGUGCAGCUUUAGUCUCAGUCACUGACUGUCGCCGCUGCCUUUAGGAAACACCUGCUUCUGACGCCCAAAGGUGGAGCAACGACGACUCAUGGCCGUCCACGAUGAGAUGUUUAAGUUAAAGCCACAGAAAUGUCUCCAGUAAUCACCUCAAGCCACAAAAUCGCCCCCAAAGUGAAGCCAAGAUGAAGAUAAAGCCGAAAAACAAAUGAGAGCUUUUGAUGUAGGAGUGAGGGGACGAGGUCAGUGGACUGAGACGGUGACAGACUGCUGACUUUUACUCACGAGUACAGCUGGUAUGUAAAACAGCUGGAGCUGCUGUGGGCAGGAGGUGUGGACGAGGUUUCAGAAGCAGCUGAGGAAAGACACAGUGAACGCUUUAAUCCAUGGGCCUG